RNAcentral lists this unclassified non-coding RNA (301 nucleotides) under Glomus sp. RNAcentral describes it as "partial contains 5.8S ribosomal RNA and internal transcribed spacer 2". The stretch from base 1 to 72 matches the Rfam family "5.8S ribosomal RNA", at positions 84 to 154 of the family's 154-position model. Lineage: Eukaryota; Fungi; Glomeromycota; Glomeromycetes; Glomerales; Glomeraceae. The record is from RNAcentral.
GUGAAUCAUCGAAUUUUUGAACGCAAAUUGCACUCUCCGGUUUUCCGGGAAAGUAUGCCUGUUUGAGGGUCAGCCUAAAUAAAAUCGGCUUAGUAGUUUGCUGUGUUUUUCACGGUAACGUUGGUCGGAAUUUGGGUCAUCUUAAACCGAAAGGUUUUUAAGCGACUUAAAAUUUUCUUACGAUCUCGCGAACGUUUCUAAGAAUUUCUUGUACGUUCGCGACAUCGAAAUCAUAUUAGGGGCGACCGCCGCGUCGGGUUCGCUCCCAUAAUGUAUCAUCUAAGGACCUCAGACAGGUAAG